GAUGAACGCUGGCGGCGUGCCUAAUACAUGCCAGUCGAGCGAACAGACGAGGAGCUUGCUCCUCUGACGUUAGCGGCGGACGGGUGAGUAACACGUGGAUAACCUACCUAUAAGACUGGGAUAACUUCGGGAAACCGGAGCUAAUACCGGAUAAUAUAUUGAACCGCAUGGUUCAAUAGUGAAAGACGGUUUUCUGUCACUUAUAGAUGGAUCCGCGCCGCAUUAGCUAGUUGGUAAGGUAACGGCUUACCAAGGCGACGAUGCGUAGCCGACCUGAGAGGGUGAUCGGCCACACUGGAACUGAGACACGGUCCAGACUCCUACGGGAGGCAGCAGUAGGGAAUCUUCCGCAAUGGGCGAAAGCCUGACGGAGCAACGCCGCGUGAGUGAUGAAGGUCUUCGGAUCGUAAAACUCUGUUAUUAGGGAAGAACAAAUGUGUAAGUAACUAUGCACGUCUUGACGGUACCUAAUCAGAAAGCCACGGCUAACUACGUG
This 496-nucleotide ribosomal RNA is filed under the name uncultured bacterium. RNAcentral's name for it is "partial 16S ribosomal RNA". It matches the Rfam family "Bacterial small subunit ribosomal RNA", at positions 28 to 507 of the family's 1533-position model. The record is from RNAcentral.